CAGGAAUAGUUGGGAUAACUCAGUUGGUAGAGCAGAGGACUGAAAAUCCUCGUGUCACUAGUUCAAAUCUGGUUCCUGACAC
RNAcentral lists this transfer RNA (82 nucleotides) under Helianthus annuus (common sunflower). Its description in RNAcentral is "tRNA HanXRQr2_Chr05g0237201". The stretch from base 9 to 81 matches the Rfam family "tRNA". Rfam says of the family: Transfer RNA (tRNA) molecules are approximately 80 nucleotides in length. Their secondary structure includes four short double-helical elements and three loops (D, anti-codon, and T loops). Lineage: Eukaryota; Viridiplantae; Streptophyta; Magnoliopsida; Asterales; Asteraceae. The record is from RNAcentral.